This is a long non-coding RNA of Myxocyprinus asiaticus (Chinese sucker), 568 nucleotides long. RefSeq lists it as uncharacterized. The transcript has 5 exons. The record is from RefSeq and is a predicted model, not a curated record. NCBI's taxonomy places the organism in Eukaryota, Metazoa, Chordata, Actinopteri, Cypriniformes, Catostomidae.
AAGAUGGCGCUGCGGUGAAUUCCGUAUCCUUGGAGCGUAUGAGGACAAAUCCUCACUGCGCAUGCGCUAAGCCUAUAUAAGACGUAUGCGCGCUCUUUUCUACCCUUGUUCGCUUCCUGACGCGUCGUGAUGAUCCCUUAUGUCAAAAUGUUGAUGCCUAAAUUCAAAUUCCACCCAUGGACCGUUGGAAUAAGGACCAUGUGCUUUUUGCUUCAGCACAAACUCGAGACAUGAUCAUGUUGGUACCACGUGGGUAACCACAUUCUGAAACGGGACACAUGAUUUUGAUCCAAGAGGACCUUGAACAAAUGACCCUUGAUUGUUGGCCACAUGUGAAGGUUUUAGGGGAUUGAGGUGCCAGUUUGAAGCCCUAUUGGUGCAGUGGAGAAGCAAGUGGAUUCAAAAUGGCUCUUGCUGUACCAGCUUAUGUUCCAGCAUCCUGUCCAGUAUUUUUUAUUUGUCAAUGUACAAAUAUACAGUAAGAUGUUUUUAUUAAAGUGUCAGAAAGCUUAAGCUUUCUGAAAACCACAAGCAGCUGCAUUAAACGUAUUACUUGAAACACUUUCCU